RNAcentral lists this ribosomal RNA (450 nucleotides) under uncultured bacterium. RNAcentral's name for it is "bacterial SSU rRNA". It matches the Rfam family "Bacterial small subunit ribosomal RNA", at positions 354 to 796 of the family's 1533-position model. The record is from RNAcentral.
GUGGGGAAUAUUGGACAAUGGGCGAAAGUCUGAUCCAGCCAUGCCGCGUGUGUGAAGAAGGUCUUCGGAUUGUAAAGCACUUUAAGUUGGGAGGAAGGGCAGUAAGUUAAUACCUUGCUGUUUUGACGUUACCGACAGAAUAAGCACCGGCUAACUUCGUGCCAGCAGCCGCGGUAAUACGAAGGGUGCAAGCGUUAAUCGGAAUUACUGGGCGUAAAGCGCGCGUAGGUGGUUUUGUAAGUUGGAGGUGAAAUCCCCGGGCUCAACCUGGGAACUGCCUCCAAAACUGCAUGACUAGAGUACGGUAGAGGGUAGUGGAAUUUCCUGUGUAGCGGUGAAAUGCGUAGAUAUAGGAAGGAACACCAGUGGCGAAGGCGACUACCUGGACUGAUACUGACACUGAGGUGCGAAAGCGUGGGGAGCAAACAGGAUUAGAUACCCGAGUAGUCC